Molecule: ribosomal RNA, 253 nt
Filed under: uncultured bacterium
Lineage: Bacteria
Description: partial 16S ribosomal RNA
Rfam family: Bacterial small subunit ribosomal RNA
Source: RNAcentral
UACGUAGGGGGCAAGCGUUGUCCGGAAUCAUUGGGCGUAAAGCGCGUGUAGGCGGCUUCGUAAGUCCGUUGUGAAAGUCCAGGGCUCAACCCUGGAAUGCCGAUGGAUACUGCGGAGCUAGAGUCCGGAAGAGGCGAGUGGAAUUCCUGGUGUAGCGGUGAAAUGCGCAGAUAUCAGGUGGAACACCGAUGGCGAAGGCAGUGAUCUGGGCCAGUACUGACGCUGAGGAGCGAAAGCGUGGGGAGCAAACAGG